Molecule: ribosomal RNA, 872 nt
Filed under: uncultured Planctomycetota bacterium
Lineage: Bacteria; Pseudomonadati; Planctomycetota
Description: bacterial SSU rRNA
Rfam family: Bacterial small subunit ribosomal RNA
Source: RNAcentral
AGAGUUUGAUCCUGGCUCAGAAUGAACGUUGGCGGCGUGGAUUAGGCAUGCAAGUCGAGCGAGAAGUUUUAAAAAGAUACUUCGGUUGAUUUUUAGAAUGGACAGCGGCGAAAGGGAGAGUAACGAGUAGAUACGUACCCAGGGGUUCGGGAUAGCCAUGCGAAAGCGUGAGUAAUACCGAAUAAUGUCUCCGGACCAAAGAUUUAUUGCCCUUGGAGCGGUUUGCUUACUAUUAGCUUGUUGGUGGGGUAAAGGCCUACCAAGGCUUAGAUGGUUAGCGGGUGUGAGAGCAUGACCCGUCUCACUGGGACUGAGACACUGCCCAGACACCUACGGGUGGCUGCAGUCGAGAAUCUUCCGCAAUGGACGAAAGUCUGACGGAGCGACGCCGCGUGCUGGAUGAAGGCCCUCGGGUUGUAAACAGCUGUCGUAGGGGAGGAAAUUUUGACCGAUCCUAGGAGGAAGCACAGGCUAAGUUCGUGCCAGCAGCCGCGGUAAUACGAACUGUGCAAACGUUAUUCGGAAUCACUGGGCUUAAAGGGUGCGUAGGCGGACUUGUAGGUCAGGUGUGAAAUCCCACGGCUCAACCGUGGAAUUGCGCUUGAAACCACUCGUCUUGAGGGGGUCAGAGGAGAGCGGAACUGAUGGUGGAGCGGUGAAAUGCGUUGAUAUUAUCAGGAACACCGGUGGCGAAAGCGGCUCUCUGGGAUCUUUCUGACGCUGAGGCACGAAAGCUAGGGGAGCGAACGGGAUUAGAUACCCCGGUAGUCCUAGCUGUAAACGAUCUGUACUAGUCCGUGGGGACCCCCACAUCUUCUCGGACGUAGCGAAAGUGUUAAGUUCAACGCCUGGGGAGUAUGGUCGCAAGGCAA